AUACGUAGGGUGCGAGCGUUGUCCGGAAUUACUGGGCGUAAAGAGCUCGUAGGUGGUUUGUCGCGUCGUCUGUGAAAUCCCGGGGCUUAACUUCGGGCGUGCAGGCGAUACGGGCAUAACUUGAGUGCUGUAGGGGAGACUGGAAUUCCUGGUGUAGCGGUGAAAUGCGCAGAUAUCAGGAGGAACACCAAUGGCGAAGGCAGGUCUCUGGGCAGUAACUGACGCUGAGGAGCGAAAGCAUGGGUAGCGAACAGGAUUAGAUACCCUGGUAGUCCAUGCCGUAAACGGUGGGCGCUAGGUGUAGGGGACUUCCACGUCUUCUGUGCCGCAGCUAACGCAUUAAGCGCCCCGCCUGGGGAGUACGGCCGCAAGGCUAAA
RNAcentral lists this ribosomal RNA (378 nucleotides) under uncultured Corynebacterium sp. Its description in RNAcentral is "bacterial SSU rRNA". It matches the Rfam family "Bacterial small subunit ribosomal RNA", at positions 523 to 898 of the family's 1533-position model. Lineage: Bacteria; Bacillati; Actinomycetota; Actinomycetes; Mycobacteriales; Corynebacteriaceae. The record is from RNAcentral.